This 200-nucleotide ribosomal RNA is filed under the name uncultured bacterium. RNAcentral's name for it is "partial 16S ribosomal RNA". It matches the Rfam family "Bacterial small subunit ribosomal RNA", at positions 1288 to 1500 of the family's 1533-position model. The record is from RNAcentral.
CAAUUCGGACUGCAGGCUGCAACCCGCCUGCACGAAGCCGGAGUUGCUAGUAAUCGCGAAUCAGAAUGUCGCGGUGAAUGCGUUCCCGGGUCUUGUACACACCGCCCGUCACACCAUGGAAGUUGGGGUGCCCAAAGCCGGCAAGCAAAUAUGCUGUCUAAGGCAAACCAAUGACGUGGGUGAAGUCGUAACAAGGUAAC